Molecule: ribosomal RNA, 480 nt
Filed under: Streptococcus vestibularis
Lineage: Bacteria; Bacillati; Bacillota; Bacilli; Lactobacillales; Streptococcaceae
Description: bacterial SSU rRNA
Rfam family: Bacterial small subunit ribosomal RNA
Source: RNAcentral
GACGAACGCUGGCGGCGUGCCUAAUACAUGCAAGUAGAACGCUGAAGAGAGGAGCUUGCUCUUCUUGGAAGAGUUGCGAACGGGUGAGUAACGCGUAGGUAACCUGCCUUGUAGCGGGGGAUAACUAUUGGAAACGAUAGCUAAUACCGCAUAACAAUGGGUGACCCAUGUCAUUCAUUUGAAAGGGGCAACUGCUCCACUACAAGAUGGACCUGCGUUGUAUUAGCUAGUAGGUGAGGUAACGGCUCACCUAGGCGACGAUACAUAGCCGACCUGAGAGGGUGAUCGGCCACACUGGGACUGAGACACGGCCCAGACUCCUACGGGAGGCAGCAGUAGGGAAUCUUCGGCAAUGGGGGCAACCCUGACCGAGCAACGCCGCGUGAGUGAAGAAGGUUUUCGGAUCGUAAAGCUCUGUUGUAAGUCAAGAACGAGUGUGAGAGUGGAAAGUUCACACUGAGACGGAGCUACCAGAAAGGA